This 373-nucleotide ribosomal RNA is filed under the name uncultured bacterium. RNAcentral describes it as "bacterial SSU rRNA". It matches the Rfam family "Bacterial small subunit ribosomal RNA", at positions 30 to 402 of the family's 1533-position model. The record is from RNAcentral.
AUUGAACGCUGGCGGCAUGCCUUACACAUGCAAGUCGAACGGCAGCACGGGAGCAAUCCUGGUGGCGAGUGGCGAACGGGUGAGUAAUAUAUCGGAACGUGCCCAGUCGUGGGGGAUAACGUAGCGAAAGCUACGCUAAUACCGCAUACGAUCUAUGGAUGAAAGCGGGGGAUCGCAAGACCUCGCGCGAUUGGAGCGGCCGAUAUCAGAUUAGGUAGUUGGUGAGGUAAAGGCUCACCAAGCCGACGAUCUGUAGCUGGUCUGAGAGGACGACCAGCCACACUGGGACUGAGACACGGCCCAGACUCCUACGGGAGGCAGCAGUGGGGGAAUUUUGGACAAUGGGCGCAAGCCUGAUCCAGCAAUGCCGCGU